RNAcentral lists this ribosomal RNA (101 nucleotides) under Cloacibacterium normanense. The record is from RNAcentral. Lineage: Bacteria; Pseudomonadati; Bacteroidota; Flavobacteriia; Flavobacteriales; Weeksellaceae. RNAcentral also lists the same sequence under 2 other names.
GUGGUUUUAGCAGAGGGGCUCACCUGUUCCCAUUCCGAACACAGAAGUUAAGCCCUCUAGCGCCGAUGGUACUGCUAACGCGGGAGAGUAGGUCGCCGCCA